Long non-coding RNA from Bos taurus (domestic cattle), 3011 nucleotides. The record is from Ensembl. NCBI's taxonomy places the organism in Eukaryota, Metazoa, Chordata, Mammalia, Artiodactyla, Bovidae.
AGUCGUCCCUGACCCCUGGUCAGGGAACUAAGAUCCGGCAUGCCAGGCAGUGCAACCAAAAACAGGGGAAAAAAAAGAUCAUGAACUUGGCAUGGCCUGAGACCAGACUCAGUGGACUUAAUUGAAGACAUUUUCCAGACCUGUGAACGAUGAAACUUUUUCCUUCAUUUUAUGGAGAUGUAAUUGACCUACAUGGGCUUCCCUGAUAACUCAGUUGGUAAAGACUCCGCCUGCAAUGCAGGAGACCUCGGUUCAAUUCCUGAAUCGGGAAGAUCUGCUGGGGAAGGGAUAGGCUACCCACUCCAGUGUUCUUGGGCUUGCCUUGUGGCUCAGCUGGUAAAGAAUCUGCCUGUAGUGCGGGAGACCUGGGUUCGAUCCCUGGGUUGUGAAGAUCCCCUGGAGAAGGGCUACCCACUCCAGUAUUCUGGCCUGGAGAAUUCCAUGGACUAUAAGCCACAGAGUCGGACGUGACUGAGUGACUUUCACUUCAUUUCCUGAUUGACACACGGCACUGGGUAAGUUUAAGGUGUGCAGUAUCAUGAUUUGACUUGCAUCUGUGGGACUUACUUUAACGAACCAGCUGCAGACCCAGGGCCUCGCUCGGGCCUCUCCAUGGUGGUGCCUUUCCACAGUUCUCCCUCGAAGCACUGCGAACCCCAUUUGUGGCACAGAAAGCCCCUGACUUCACACUCAGAAACCCACAGGCUGUGUCUCUCUGCUGCUCUGCCUCCCCUGCCCAGCCAGCUAGUGACUCAGCCAGGCAAAGAUACCUAACAGCUGGGCCCACCUCUUGGUGGGUGCUGAGCCAAUAGACACAACCAAGCCAAAAAUCGGGAGGAAGAAGGAUUUAUUCCUCAGAGCAAAUAGGAAGAACCCUGGGGAUCUCUCCCAAAGCAGGGUCUCCCCAAACAGCAAAUUUGGGGACGUUUUAAGCUAAGGGUAGAUGCUGAGGUGUGAGAGGGCUUGAGUAGAGAAUUCAGCACAGAACUGGGGCAAAGGUCGACAGAGUCCAGGCUCAGUGGGUUGAACUCGCAUCCUCUACCUGGUGGGGCCACGGCUCCUGCAGAGCUCGGUCGUGUAUCCUUAUGUGAGCUUUCCCCGGUGGUCCGGUGGAGUCCCCUCCUCCGCUGCAGGGGGAUUGCCUCUGAUCCCCGGUUGGGGAAAUAGCAUCUAACAAGCUGCUUGGUGAGGUAAAAAAAAAAAGUCCUGUUCCUGUGUAAAUCCCUGGAGGAACCGACCGCCCCGAGGCUGCCCUAUUGUUUCUGGCCUUCUCCUCCCUCAUUUCUGCAUUUUCUCCCGAAAUGUUGAGUACUUUGCACACAUUAUUUUAUUGGAAUAAGGCGUUGUUCCUUCCAGGAGACGGAAGCUCAGAGAGGUGGAUCGAUUAAGGAGGAGCCAUCUUGUAGGAAGCGUGUCUGUGGUGAUCUUGCAGGAAUAAGCCCCCAGGGGCGGGACCCUGGUGGUCGAUCACGUUUGUAGACUGCAUGAGGCCUGGCCCAGCCCCAGGGACGUGUGAGUGGCCCUGUGAAGAUCUGGAAGGUCCAUCCAUGGUGCUGCAAAUGGCAUUUAUUUCAUCCUUCUUUAUGGCUGAGUCGUAUUCCUCAUCUGGAGAAGGAAAUGGCGACCCACUGCAGUGUUCCUGCCUGGAGAAUCCCGUGGACAGAGGAGCCUGGUGGGCCGCAGUCCAUGGGGUCGCAGAGUGGGACACGACUGAGCAACUAAGGCACACUCUGUGCACGUUAUCCGCGUGUAUUACACCAUGUAUGCUCACCUCUUCUCCAUCUAUCAGUGGCAUUUAGAUCGCUUCCAUGUCUUGGCUUCUACUGCUGUGCACACUGAGGUCAUGUGUCUUUUCGAAUGAGAGCUUUUCCAGAUACAGAGCAUAGGAACUUUUCCCUCUCAUUGUGAAUAAGCCCAGAUAAGCUUCCCCCUCCCAGAGCCAUGCCCUUUGCUAAAGAAUUUUCCUCCCCACUUAGCGCCUGUGAUUUGUCCCCUUCCUCGGGUCUGUGAGGAGCUCUUACAUUCUAGGCCCAAUGCAGGCGUUUUGCAGACACUGCUGGCAUCUGGGCUGGCAGGGUUUGUCGUGGGGGCGGUCCUGUGCAUUGCAAGGCACCGAGCAGCGUCUCUGGGCUCCGCCCGCUGGACGCCAACAGCACCUGCUCUCAGUUACGACGGCCGAACUUGUCUCCAGACUUCGCCAGCUGUUCCCUGAGAGUAAAAUCGCAUCCUCCUCCACUUGAGAACCACCGAGUCACUGGGAAGAAUUGUUUGCAGCUGUGGGAGCAGGAAGGGGGCUGGUGUGGGGCCUCUCCAGGGGGAAGUGACCAGAACCAGAUGCAUCGCUCUGAUCGUCACACUGCAGCUCACUUGCUGGCCAUGUGUUUUGAAUCUAGAGGGGGCCCCAGAGACUGCUUUCCCAUUGUCUUGGAAGUGCUGGCAAAUUCUGAGAAUGACCAGGCUCCUCUGCGCAGUGAAAGUUGUGAAGUCGUGUCCGACUCUUUGCGACCCCAGGAGCUGCAGCACGCCAGGCCUCCCUGUCCUUCACCGUCUCCCCGAGUUUGCUCAAACCCAUGUCCAUCGAGUCGGUGAUGCCAUCCAGCCAUCUCAUCCUCUGUCGUCCCCUUCUCCUCCUGCCCCCAAUCUUUCCCGACAUCAGGGUCUUUUCCAAUGAGUCGGCUCUUCCCAUCAGGUGGACCUUAAAGUAUUGGAGUUUCAGCUUCAUCGUCAGUCCUUCCAAUGACUAUUCCAGAUUAAUUUCCUUUAGGAUGGACUGGUUGGAUCUCCUUGGUGUCCAAGGGACUCUAAAGUCUUCUCUAACACCACAGUUCAAAAGCAUCAGUUCUUCGGCGCUCAGCUUUCUUUAUGGUCCAACUCAUAUGUAUGUAUCGUAUUCUUUUUUUCAGACUGUUUUCCUGUAUAGGUUAUUACAACAUACUGAGUACAUAGCACAUUGAGCAUGCUUCCCUGUGCUGCGUAGGGGCCUCGUUGUUUAUUUCACACGUAGCGGGGUG